AAAUGCUGAGGCGUGAUGGGGAAGGCCCUUGAGGCUGAAGUACAUGAUUCCAUGCUUCCAAGAAAAGCAUCUAGAGAGAGAAGUAGUGCCCGUACCGCAAACCGACACAGGUAGAUGAGGAGAGAAUCCUAAGGCCGGCGGAAGAAUUGCAGUUAAGGAACUAGGCAAAUUGACCCCGUAAGUUAGCGAGAAGGGGUGCCUGCGAGAGCAGGCCGCAGAGAAUAGGCCCAAGCAACUGUUUAGCAAAAACACAGGUCUCUGCUAAAGCGCAAGCUGAUGUAUAGGGGCUGACGCCUGCCCGGUGCUGGAAGGUUAAGGGGAACACUUAGCGAAAGCGAAGGUGUGAACUUAAGCCCCAGUAAACGGCGGCCGUAACAAUAACGGUCCUAAGGUAGCGAAAUUCCUUGUCAGGUAAGUUCUGACCCGCACGAAUGGCGUAAUGACUUGGGCACUGUCUCAACUGCAAAUCCGGCGAAGUUGUAGUGCGAGUGAAGAUGCUCGCUACCCGCGAUUGGACGGAAAGACCCCGUAGAGCUUUACUGUAGCUUAGCAUUGAAUUCCGGUAUUGUCUGUACAGGAUAGGUGGGAGACUGGGAAACUAGGGCGUCAGCCUUGGUGGAGUCGUCCCUGGGAUACCACCCUGACAGUACUGGGGUUCUAACAGGACACCAUGAAUCUGGUGACUGGACAUUGUUAGGUGGGCAGUUUGACUGGGGCGAUCGCCUCCUAAAAAGUAACGGAGGCGCCCAAAGGUUCCCUCAGAACGGUCGGAAAUCGUUCGUAGAGUGCAAAGGCAGAAGGGAGCCUGACUGCGAGACCUACAAGUCGAGCAGGGACGAAAGUCGGGCUUAGUGAUCCGGUGGUACCUCGUGGGAGGGCCAUCGCUCAACGGAUAAAAGCUACCUCGGGGAUAACAGGCUGAUCUCCCCCAAGAGUCCACAUCGACGGGGAGGUUUGGCACCUCGAUGUCGGCUCGUCGCAUCCUGGGGCUGUAGUAGGUCCCAAGGGUUGGGCUGUUCGCCCAUUAAAGCGGCACGCGAGCUGGGUUCAGAACGUCGUGAGACAGUUCGGUCCCUAUCCGUCGCGGGCGUAGGAAAUUUGAGAGGAGCUGUCCUUAGUACGAGAGGACCGGGAUGGACUGACCUCUGGUGCACCAGUUGUUCUGCCAAGAGCAUGGCUGGGUAGCUAAGUCGGGAAGGGAUAAACGCUGAAAGCAUCUAAGCGUGAAGCCUCCCUCAAGAUGAGAUUUCCCAUAGCAUAAGCUAGUAAGACCCCUUGAAGAACACGAGGUUGAUAGGUCAGAGGUGUAAGUAUGGUAACAUAUUUAGCUGACUGAUACUAAUAGGUCGAGGGCUUGAUC
RNAcentral lists this ribosomal RNA (1360 nucleotides) under metagenome. RNAcentral's name for it is "bacterial LSU rRNA". It matches the Rfam family "Bacterial large subunit ribosomal RNA", at positions 1551 to 2925 of the family's 2925-position model. The record is from RNAcentral.